AAUCAGACAGUGCAGCAGCAUUGCAGUCUACUCUUUUUUUGGUCCGAAACUCAUCCAGCUCAUGUGUGGCUCUCUGAAGACUUGAAAUUAGGACAAAGGUUCCCCACACCUGCUCUCUACAAAGACAAAAGACGACGCCUGGGGUCCAUCACGUGAAUCGUGAGGAGGGGACGGGAGAGCCCUUUGGAGUAACCUUCAUCCUCAACAUCAUCAUCAUCAUCAUGCCAUGCAGGUCUGCCGGUGCAAACGUGUUACCUGGAUGGGCCUGAAUCCUCCCUUGAGAGCAGGAAAGAGAGAAAAGGCAAUUGCACUGAAAGCAGGCUAGGUGGCAGUGAUCAAAGUGAGGCUGCUACUGUUAGGAUUCUGCAUCGACCUACCGGGACAGGCCCCGAGGUGACGCACUUUCCCCAGAGGAGUCUACCUGCGACGCUUCAUUUCAUUAAAUGGACUCUCCCCCCCUCCCUAAAUGUGUUUUCUCAGAUGUUUUCCUUGCCAGGAUUGGGGGGGGGGUCUACACCAGGGGAUGACGUUUGUGAAUUGUGGGUCUGUGAAGCCUUUUGAGACUCUUCUGUGACUAAGGGCUACACAAAUAAACUUGACUACGGUCUACAAUACUGUAGUACAUUUUGUGACAAUCAAAUUCAGCACUCUGCAACACCAAGGCUGAAUUUAUGCUUCAAGUGAUAAUUCUGAUUUUCGGUUCUCAAGUUGCAUAAUUUGGAUGCACGUCAUGGCAGCGUGAAAAGAAAACAACACAUGAAUCUAACAGCUUUAGAUCGGAA
Molecule: long non-coding RNA, 782 nt
Organism: Phycodurus eques (leafy seadragon)
Lineage: Eukaryota; Metazoa; Chordata; Actinopteri; Syngnathiformes; Syngnathidae
Exons: 3
Source: RefSeq, a predicted model, not a curated record